RNAcentral lists this ribosomal RNA (844 nucleotides) under uncultured bacterium. RNAcentral's name for it is "bacterial SSU rRNA". It matches the Rfam family "Bacterial small subunit ribosomal RNA", at positions 58 to 916 of the family's 1533-position model. The record is from RNAcentral.
CAAGUCGAACGAUGAAGUUCCUUCGGGAAUGGAUUAGUGGCGAACGGGUGAGGAACACGUGAGAAACCUGCCUUUCAUUCUGGGAUAACACCGGGAAACCGGUGCUAAUACCGGAUACUCCAUCUUGGCGGCAUCGCCGAGCUGGGAAAAAAUUUUGAUGAAAGAUGGUCUCGCGGCCUAUCAGCUAGUUGGUGAGGUAAAGGCUCACCAAGGCGACGACGGGUAGCCGGCCUGAGAGGGCGACCGGCCACACUGGGACUGAGACACGGCCCAGACUCCUACGGGAGGCAGCAGUAGGGAAUAUUGGGCAAUGGGCGAAAGCCUGACCCAGCGACGCCGCGUGAGGGAUGAAGGUCUUCGGAUUGUAAACCUCCUUCAGUAGGGAAGAAGCGAAAGUGACGGUACCUAAAGAAGAAGCACCGGCUAACUAUGUGCCAGCAGCCGCGGUAAUACAUAGGGUGCAAGCGUUGUCCGGAAUUAUUGGGCGUAAAGAGCUCGUAGGUCGUUUGUCGCGUCGAUUGUGAAAAUCUGAGGCUCAACCUCAGACCUGCAGUCGAUACGGGCAAACUAGAGUGUGGUAGGGGAGACUGGAAUUCCUGGUGUAGCGGUGGAAUGCGCAGAUAUCAGGAGGAACACCAAUGGCGAAGGCAGGUCUCUGGGCCAUAACUGACACUGAGGAGCGAAAGUGCGGGGAGCGAACAGGAUUAGAUACCCUGGUAGUCCGCACCGUAAACGGUGGGCACUAGUUGUGGGAACCUUCCACGGUUUCCGCGACGCAGCAAACGCAUUAAGUGCCCCGCCUGGGGAGUACGAUCGCAAGAUUAAAACUCAAAGGAAUUGACGG